GAUGAAGAACGCAGCGAAAUGCGAUAAGUAAUGUGAAUUGCAGAAUUCAGUGAAUCAUCGAAUCUUUGAACGCAUCUUGCGCUCCUUGGUAUUCCGCAGGGCAUGCCUGUUCGAGCGUCAUUUCAACCCUCAAGCCCCGCUUGGUGUUGGGCCCCGCCCGCUGUGGCCGGCCCUAAAGACAGUGGCGGCGCCGCCUGGCCCUCAGCGUAGUACAUCUCUCGCUCCAGGGUCCGGUGGCCGCCUGCCAGAACCCCCCAACUCUGUGGUUGACCUCGGAUCAGGUAGGGAUACCCGCUGAACUUAAGCAUAUCAAUAAGCGGAGGA
RNAcentral lists this unclassified non-coding RNA (324 nucleotides) under soil metagenome. Its description in RNAcentral is "partial contains 5.8S ribosomal RNA, internal transcribed spacer 2, and large subunit ribosomal RNA". The stretch from base 1 to 120 matches the Rfam family "5.8S ribosomal RNA", at positions 35 to 154 of the family's 154-position model. The record is from RNAcentral.